AGCACCCUCGUAGAAGGCGAUCCCCGUCGGUUUCCCUCCAAGCCCAGUGGAGGGCUUGUCCCAUGAAAGACUGCCUUGCCCGGAAUACAGUGACCACCGCAUGCCUCGGGAAAACUGUAGAUAGGGACGUUAGGGUUGGAAAAAGUACUAGGAGACCCAAGUUCUAUCCCUGGUCAGGGAACCAGAUCCCACAUGCUGCAACUGAUCCUGUGUGCUCAACUAAGACCUAUGGCAGCCAAAUAAGCAACGGGGACAGCCCAUAAAUGCUGGCUCCUUCCUCAGCAUAAUGGUUCCUUGGACUCGCAUCUAAACAGACUCUUAACUUUUGGGAACUGAGUUAUAACUUCGUAUCUCCUCCCUCUGACCUGUUUCCUCUCAACAGCCAAGACCUCUCUGCUUCUUACUCUCAAGCUUCAAGUAGAUUUGGUGUAACUCCCAGCAGCGGUGAUGGUAAAUCCAGACCAGCUCGAGAGGCAGGACUGAGCCUGACUAAGGGCUUUGCUGGCCCCAGUCUGCCCAGUUGAGGGCUCACCACCACCACCAGGGGUCAAAAAAGAACAGUGGCUCAGCAGCUCCUGCCAUUGACGUCUAUGCGUGAGGGAGUCAACUGGCACUGUACUCCAUGUUGAACUGUAAAAGUAAAAAUGUUUUCCCAGUCAAGUUAGGGUUGGUUUCUCUCAUCCACACCCAUCCACAGGAAUGGGCUUACCUGGUGGUUCAGUGGUAAAGAACCUGCCUGCCAAUGCAGGAAACACAGGAGACUCCGGUUUGUUUCCUGGGUCCGGAAUAUCCCCUGGAGAAGGAAAU
This is a long non-coding RNA of Bubalus bubalis (water buffalo), 807 nucleotides long. RefSeq lists it as uncharacterized. The record is from RefSeq and is a predicted model, not a curated record. NCBI's taxonomy places the organism in Eukaryota, Metazoa, Chordata, Mammalia, Artiodactyla, Bovidae. The transcript has 3 exons.